UACGUAGGGUGCGAGCGUUGUCCGGAAUUAUUGGGCGUAAAGGGCUCGUAGGCGGUUCGUCGCGUCGGGAGUGAAAACCUCGGGCUUAACUCGGGGCUUGCUUUCGAUACGGGCAGACUGGAGGUAUGCAGGGGAGAACGGAAUUCCUGGUGUAGCGGUGAAAUGCGCAGAUAUCAGGAGGAACACCGGUGGCGAAGGCGGUUCUCUGGGCAUUACCUGACGCUGAGGAGCGAAAGUGUGGGGAGCGAACAGG
Molecule: ribosomal RNA, 253 nt
Filed under: uncultured bacterium
Lineage: Bacteria
Description: partial 16S ribosomal RNA
Rfam family: Bacterial small subunit ribosomal RNA
Source: RNAcentral